UAUUCCUACGGGGCGCAGCAGUAGGGAAUCUUCCACAAUGGACGAAAGUCUGAUGGAGCAACGCCGCGUGAGUGAAGAAGGGUUUCGGCUCGUAAAGCUCUGUUGGGAGGGAAGAAAGAUAGAGGUAGGAACUGGCCUUUAUUUGACGGGAAUUACUUAGAAAGUCACGGCUAACUACGUGACAGCAGCCGCGGUAAUACGUAGGUGGCAAGCGUUGUCCGGAUUUAUUGGGCGUAAAGCGAG
RNAcentral lists this ribosomal RNA (243 nucleotides) under uncultured bacterium. RNAcentral describes it as "partial 16S ribosomal RNA". It matches the Rfam family "Bacterial small subunit ribosomal RNA", at positions 334 to 569 of the family's 1533-position model. The record is from RNAcentral.